RNAcentral lists this ribosomal RNA (600 nucleotides) under Agromyces sp. Its description in RNAcentral is "bacterial SSU rRNA". It matches the Rfam family "Bacterial small subunit ribosomal RNA", at positions 81 to 692 of the family's 1533-position model. The record is from RNAcentral. Lineage: Bacteria; Bacillati; Actinomycetota; Actinomycetes; Micrococcales; Microbacteriaceae.
UGCUGGGUGGAUUAGUGGCGAACGGGUGAGUAACACGUGAGUAACCUGCCCUGGACUCUGGGAUAACCCCGAGAAAUCGGAGCUAAUACCGGAUAGGACCUUUCCCCGCAUGGGGUUUGGUGGAAAGUUUUUCGGUUUGGGAUGGACUCGCGGCCUAUCAGCUUGUUGGUGAGGUAAUGGCUCACCAAGGCGUCGACGGGUAGCCGGCCUGAGAGGGUGACCGGCCACACUGGGACUGAGACACGGCCCAGACUCCUACGGGAGGCAGCAGUGGGGAAUAUUGCACAAUGGGCGCAAGCCUGAUGCAGCAACGCCGCGUGCGGGAUGACGGCCUUCGGGUUGUAAACCGCUUUUAGUAGGGAAGAAGGGCUUCGGCUUGACGGUACCUGCAGAAAAAGGACCGGCUAACUACGUGCCAGCAGCCGCGGUAAUACGUAGGGUCCGAGCGUUGUCCGGAAUUAUUGGGCGUAAAGAGCUCGUAGGCGGUUUGUCGCGUCUGCUGUGAAAACUAGAGGCUCAACCUCUAGCCUGCAGUGGGUACGGGCAGACUUGAGUGGUGUAGGGGAGACUGGAAUUCCUGGUGUAGCGGUGGAAUGCGCA